This 465-nucleotide long non-coding RNA is filed under the name Nicotiana benthamiana. Its description in RNAcentral is "long non-coding RNA (NBEN_LNC013780)". The record is from RNAcentral. Lineage: Eukaryota; Viridiplantae; Streptophyta; Magnoliopsida; Solanales; Solanaceae.
AUCAACACAGUUUCAAAGUCUGUAAUGGUAUUUGAAAUACAGUCAGAAUGAGGAGAAAUCAGCAAUAGUAAGCGUAACAGUAGCAGUAAGUUAGAACCAAAUCAGCACCAAAAUCAAUCUAAACCCAGAAACACACUCAAACACAGCCCGGAACGAGUUGUAAAACCAACAGUAAUAGCAAACACCCAAAAUACACUCAAUUGAACUCGAGUACACCAAAAAGUAGAAUCAGUAAACUACAGAACAGGUGCAGCAACAAGAAGAAGUGAGAAUCAAUGCCUAAGACUAAAAUUUCACCUAGAAAUGCAAUUUAACAGUAUUUUUUUUUGGUUUUCUGAAUAUUUUUGCCUUUGUUUUUGGUUUUCUUUUUGAAGGAAUUAAAAUCUAAGGGAGUGUCUGAUCUAAAAUUUGAAUUUCAAAGCUGGAAGCUUGAAGAGUAUUUUUUGGGGGGGAAUUUUUGGAGCU